RNAcentral lists this ribosomal RNA (468 nucleotides) under uncultured bacterium. RNAcentral's name for it is "partial 16S ribosomal RNA". It matches the Rfam family "Bacterial small subunit ribosomal RNA", at positions 28 to 507 of the family's 1533-position model. The record is from RNAcentral.
GACGAACGCUGGCGGCGUGCUUAACACAUGCAAGUCGAACGGAAAGGCCCUGCUUUUGUGGGGUGCUCGAGUGGCGAACGGGUGAGUAACACGUGAGUAACCUGCCCUUGACUUUGGGAUAACUUCAGGAAACUGGGGCUAAUACCGGAUAGGAGCUCCUGCUGCAUGGUGGGGGUUGGAAAGUUUCGGCGGUUGGGGAUGGACUCGCGGCUUAUCAGCUUGUUGGUGAGGUAGUGGCUUACCAAGGCUUUGACGGGUAGCCGGCCUGAGAGGGUGACCGGCCACAUUGGGACUGAGAUGCGGCCCAGACUCCUACGGGAGGCAGCAGUGGGGAAUAUUGCACAAUGGGCGGAAGCCUGAUGCAGCAACGCCGCGUGCGGGAUGACGGCCUUCGGGUUGUAAACCGCUUUCGCCUGUGACGAAGCGUGAGUGACGGUAAUGGGUAAAGAAGCACCGGCUAACUACGUG